GACGAACGCUGGCGGCGUGCUUAACACAUGCAAGUCGAACGGUGAAGCGAGUGCUUGCACUCGUGGAUCAGUGGCGAACGGGUGUGUAACACGUGAGUAACCUGCCCAUCACUCUGGGAUAAGCACUGGAAACGGUGUCUAAUACUGGAUACGACCAACCCUUGCAUGGGGUGUUGGUGGAAAGAUUUAUCGGUGAUGGAUGGACUCGCGGCCUAUCAGCUUGUUGGCGGGGUAAUGGCCCACCAAGGCGACGACGGGUAGCCGGCCUGAGAGGGUGACCGGCCACACUGGGACUGAGACACGGCCCAGACUCCUACGGGAGGCAGCAGUGGGGAAUAUUGCACAAUGGGCGAAAGCCUGAUGCAGCGACGCCGCGUGAGGGAUGACGGCCUUCGGGUUGUAAACCUCUUUCAGCAGGGAAGAAGCGAAAGUGACGGUACCUGCAGAAGAAGCACCGGCUAACUACGUG
This 469-nucleotide ribosomal RNA is filed under the name uncultured bacterium. RNAcentral describes it as "partial 16S ribosomal RNA". It matches the Rfam family "Bacterial small subunit ribosomal RNA", at positions 28 to 507 of the family's 1533-position model. The record is from RNAcentral.